Molecule: ribosomal RNA, 254 nt
Filed under: uncultured bacterium
Lineage: Bacteria
Description: partial 16S ribosomal RNA
Rfam family: Bacterial small subunit ribosomal RNA
Source: RNAcentral
GACGUAGGAGGCGAGCGUUGUCCGGAUUCAUUGGGCGUAAAGAGCGCGCAGGCGGCUUGGUAAGUCGGAUGUGAAAACCCGAGGCUCAACCUCGGGCGUGCAUCCGAAACUGCCGUGACUCGAGUCCGGUAGGGGAGUGUGGAAUUCCCGGUGUAGCGGUGAAAUGCGCAGAUAUCGGGAGGAACACCAGUAGCGAAGGCGGCACUCUGGGCCGGUACUGACGCUGAGGAGCGAAAGCGUGGGGAGCGAACAGG